CCUUCGGGUGGCAGCAGUGGGGAAUAUUGCACAAUGGGGGAAACCCUGAUGCAGCAACGCCGCGUGGGUGAAGGAGCGUUUCGGCGCGUAAAGCCCUGUCAGCGGGGAAGAAGAAAGACGGAACCCGACCAAGAAGCCCCGGCUAACUACGUGCCAGCAGCCGCGGUAAUACGUAGGGGGCGAGCGUUAUCCGGAAUUACUGGGUGUAAAGGGUGCGUAGGCGGGCUUUUAAGUCAGCGGUAAAAAUUCGGGGCUCAACCCCGUCCGGCCGUUGAAACUGGGGGCCUUGAGUGGGCGAGAAGAAGGCGGAAUGCGUGGUGUAGCGGUGAAAUGCAUAGAUAUCACGCAGAACCCCGAUUGCGAAGGCAGCCUUCCGGCGCCCUACUGACGCUGAGGCACGAAAGUGCGGGGAUCGAACAGGAUUAGAUACCCCAGUAGUC
Molecule: ribosomal RNA, 440 nt
Filed under: uncultured bacterium
Lineage: Bacteria
Description: partial 16S ribosomal RNA
Rfam family: Bacterial small subunit ribosomal RNA
Source: RNAcentral